RNAcentral lists this ribosomal RNA (948 nucleotides) under Micarea soralifera. Its description in RNAcentral is "SSU rRNA". It matches the Rfam family "Bacterial small subunit ribosomal RNA", at positions 331 to 1267 of the family's 1533-position model. The record is from RNAcentral. Lineage: Eukaryota; Fungi; Ascomycota; Lecanoromycetes; Lecanorales; Micareaceae.
UCAAUAGCCUAACGGCUGAACCAGCAACUUGGAAGAAUGUAUAGCGAUUGCUAACUGCUUCAUACCACAAAAAAGAUGAAGCAGUCUAGAUUUAAUUCGAUAAAGUUCUGGGUAAAAUUAUGAUAAUGACAUUGUUUAUCUAUGAGUCUUGACCAAAUUACGUGCCAGCAGUCGCGGUAAUACGUAGAAGACUAGUGUUAUUCAUCUUUAAUAGGUUUAAAGGGUACCUAGACGGCAUAUUAAGCCUUAAUUGGAACUGACAUGCUAGAGCUACUUAUGAGGAAGUUUUAAUGUACUAGAGGUGUAGAGAUGAAAUUCAGUCAUACCUUUUUUCUAACGAAAAAUUUCGGCACAGGUAUAGGUGAAAACAUCUUCUUAUGGGAUAACUGACGUUGAGGGACGAAGGCUUUUUAUCGCGAACAGGAUUAGAUACCCUGGUAGUCAAAGCAGAAAAUGAUGAGUGUCAUAGAUUAGAUAAAAAUUUAUUCUAUAAAUGAAAGUGUAAGCACUCCACCUCAAGAGUAAUUUGGCAACAUUGGAACUGAAAUCAUUAGACCGUAUCUGAAACCAGUAGUGAAGUAUGUUAUUUAAUUUGAUAAUCCGCAAAAAACCUUACCACAACUUGAAUAUUUAUUUAUUCACUUUAUCACAAGUUUUGUGUGCAGUCCAGUAUAUAAUCUAGGCUGUUAUUUAAACAAUUAAGCAAUUAUGUGAUAAGUGAAACCCUAUAGAUACAAGUGUUGCACGGCUGUCUUCAGUUAAUGUCGUGAGACUAUGGUUAGCUCCAGUAAAUUAACGUAAACCCUUGCUCUUCUUCGAAGAAGAGUAGUUCUCCGCUAUAUUGGAUAAGAUAACAGGGAUCAAGACAAGUCAUCAUGGCCUUAAUGUUGUGGGCUAUAGACGUGCCACGUGAGCCUUUACAAAAGGAUGUGAAAUUGUGAAAUUGAG